AUUGAACGCUAGCGGGAUGCUUUACACAUGCAAGUCGAACGGCAGCGCGGACUUCGGUCUGGCGGCGAGUGGCGAACGGGUGAGUAAUGUAUCGGAACCUGCCCAGUAGCGGGGGAUAACUACGCGAAAGCGUAGCUAAUACCGCAUACGCCCUACGGGGGAAAGCAGGGGAUCGUAAGACCUUGCACUAUUGGAGCGGCCGAUAUCGGAUUAGCUAGUUGGUGAGGUAACGGCUCACCAAGGCGACGAUCCGUAGCUGGUUUGAGAGGACGACCAGCCACACUGGGACUGAGACACGGCCCAGACUCCUACGGGAGGCAGCAGUGGGGAAUUUUGGACAAUGGGGGCAACCCUGAUCCAGCCAUCCCGCGUGUGCGAUGAAGGCCUUCGGGUUGUAAAGCACUUUUGGCAGGAAAGAAACGUCGCGGGCUAAUACCCCGUGGAACUGACGGUACCUGCAGAAUAAGCACCGGCUAACUACGUG
RNAcentral lists this ribosomal RNA (484 nucleotides) under uncultured bacterium. RNAcentral's name for it is "partial 16S ribosomal RNA". It matches the Rfam family "Bacterial small subunit ribosomal RNA", at positions 30 to 507 of the family's 1533-position model. The record is from RNAcentral.